UACGGAGGGAGCUAGCGUUGUUCGGAAUUACUGGGCGUAAAGCGCGCGUAGGCGGCUUUGUAAGUUAGAGGUGAAAGCCCGGAGCUCAACUCCAGAACUGCCUUUGAUACUGAGGAGCUUGAGUCCGGGAGAGGUGAGUGGAACUGCGAGUGUAGAGGUGAAAUUCGUAGAUAUUCGCAAGAACACCAGUGGCGAAGGCGGCUCACUGGCCCGGUACUGACGCUGAGGUGCGAAAGCGUGGGGAGCAAACAGG
This 253-nucleotide ribosomal RNA is filed under the name uncultured bacterium. RNAcentral's name for it is "partial 16S ribosomal RNA". It matches the Rfam family "Bacterial small subunit ribosomal RNA", at positions 524 to 776 of the family's 1533-position model. The record is from RNAcentral.